Molecule: RNase P RNA, 373 nt
Filed under: Lachnospiraceae bacterium
Lineage: Bacteria; Bacillati; Bacillota; Clostridia; Lachnospirales; Lachnospiraceae
Description: RNase P RNA component class A
Rfam family: Bacterial RNase P class A
About the family: Ribonuclease P (RNase P) is a ubiquitous endoribonuclease, found in archaea, bacteria and eukarya as well as chloroplasts and mitochondria.
Source: RNAcentral
CGAGUCAGAUAAAUGGUCGCGCCUGUUAUAUUACACUAAGUAAUUGCCUGGCAAUUUUAGUGUAACGCAGGUGAGGAAAGUCCGGGCUUCAUAGGGCAGGAUGCCGGAUAACGUCCGGUGGAGGUAACUCUAAGGAAAGUGCAACAGAAAUAAACCGCUGCAACGCAGUAAGGGUGGAAAGGCGAGGUAAGAGCUCACCGCCUGUCUGGUAACAGAGAGGGCACAUGUAAACCCCAUCCGAAGCAAGACCGAGAAGAAGGCGUUACGGUUUGCCCGACCAGCUUUCAGGUGGGUCGCUAGAGCUUACUGGUGACAGUAAGUCGAGAUAGAUGAUCAUUCACGACAUAACCCGGCUUAUCGUCUGGCUCGAUAU